UACGUAGGGUGCGAGCGUUAAUCGGAAUUACUGGGCGUAAAGCGUGCGCAGGCGGUGAUGUAAGACAGAUGUGAAAUCCCCGGGCUCAACCUGGGAACUGCAUUUGUGACUGCAUCGCUGGAGUGCGGCAGGGGGGGAUGGAAUUCCGCGUGUAGCAGUGAAAUGCGUAGAUAUGCGGAGGAACACCGAUGGCGAAGGCAAUCCCCUGGGCCUGCACUGACGCUCAUGCACGAAAGCGUGGGGAGCAAACAGG
RNAcentral lists this ribosomal RNA (253 nucleotides) under uncultured bacterium. RNAcentral's name for it is "partial 16S ribosomal RNA". It matches the Rfam family "Bacterial small subunit ribosomal RNA", at positions 524 to 776 of the family's 1533-position model. The record is from RNAcentral.